UGCAUCUGAGGUUUGUGAGGAUGAGAACCUCCGGGGUAGAGGUUCGACUCGAGCGGAGCGAGAGAACGUUGCGACAGCAACGGCCCGCAGGGCGAGUCACGUAGUGGCGAGUUAUCCUCUAUCACCGACCA
This 131-nucleotide small RNA is filed under the name Klebsiella michiganensis. RNAcentral describes it as "RtT sRNA". It matches the Rfam family "RtT RNA". Rfam says of the family: This family represents a bacterial cis-regulatory element known as RtT RNA. The exact function of RtT is unknown although it is thought that it may be involved in changing the cellular response in relation to amino acid starvation. Lineage: Bacteria; Pseudomonadati; Pseudomonadota; Gammaproteobacteria; Enterobacterales; Enterobacteriaceae. The record is from RNAcentral.